This 413-nucleotide ribosomal RNA is filed under the name uncultured eukaryote. RNAcentral's name for it is "partial small subunit ribosomal RNA". The record is from RNAcentral.
UUUUGCUGCCGCUGCUGACGGAGCUGUCUCCGGAAAACCAGAUGCGGAUGUAACUGCUGCUGAGGUAAUAAGAGAUUUCUUAAAGAACUGGCGGCGGUUCAGACGUUUUGUCAUUUUUACAAUCCUCUUGAUUACAAUUGGAUCUAUUUGUUCAAUUUCACAUAUUUGAAUUUUUUAUUGUCAACUAAGCAACAAGCUCUCAGAAAGUAGUUAAGUCGUACUCAAGUUCAAAUCUCAUUUUGUGCUCAGCCUCUUCCUGAGCCAACUUCAGGAAAAUGUCUCGGAGUUCCUGUGUCUGUGCUACGGUUGCCAAAUCCGUGUAAAGCUUACGUGCAGUAUCCUCCUUUUUCAUGCCAACUAUGAGCAAGUCGACGUAAUUCAUCUUGGCGUACGGUUUGACGUCCUCCACAUGG